CUUAUUUAUUUUUAAUUCCUUCUUUUUCACUUUCAAUUUUUCAUUCUUUUCAUUUUUAUUUGUAAUUCUUUAUUCUUUUUUUUAUUUUUACUUUUCCCUUUUACCCCACCCAAAAACCCCAUUUUAAUUUCAAUUUUUUCCCUUUUUUUUGUCUUUUUUCCCCAAUUUUUUUCCUCCUUUCCCCUCAGUUUCCUCCUGGAUCGGCUCCUCCAGUACGAAAACGUCGACGAUGAUUCCUCAGACUCGGAAGCGACGGCGUCGUCCGACAACAGCGACGGCGACGGAGCCAAGGGGGCGGAGCCAACGCCCGCCAAGAGGCGCCGCUCGCCGUCCCCGCCCCCCCCAGCCUUUGGCCCCUCCCCCUAUUUGAUGGCGUCGCCGCCCUACGGCUCCUUCCCGGCGCCGUUCCCGCCCCUCCCCCCGCAGGGCGGGGCCCGGCCGCGCCCCUCCCCCGCCCGGCGCAGCAAAGGGACGCGCAGGGGGCAGUGA
Molecule: long non-coding RNA, 489 nt
Filed under: Chloebia gouldiae (Gouldian finch)
Lineage: Eukaryota; Metazoa; Chordata; Aves; Passeriformes; Passeridae
Description: Erythrura gouldiae (Gouldian finch) lncRNA (ENSEGOG00005009904.1)
Source: RNAcentral